Molecule: ribosomal RNA, 1283 nt
Filed under: metagenome
Description: bacterial LSU rRNA
Rfam family: Bacterial large subunit ribosomal RNA
Source: RNAcentral
UAGAGGUGAUGACGAGUUCAAUUGCGAGCGAAGCGGCAAAUCCUACACUGACAAGAAAAGCCUCUAGCGAGUUACGUUGGUGUCCGUACUGUAAACCGACACAGGUGGGUGGGGUGAGAAACCUAAGGCGUUGAGUGAAACCUCGUUAAGGAACUCGGCAACUUGACACCGUAACUUCGGGAGAAGGUGUGCCCUCGCUAGGUGUAAGAAUUCACUUCUGAAGCCGGGGAGGGUGGCACAAAAAUGGCCGGGGCGACUGUUUACUAAAAACAUAGGACUCUGCUAAAUCGCAAGAUGAUGUAUAGGGUCUGAUGCCUGCCCGGUGCCGGAAGGUUAAGGGGAUCUGUUAUUCGCAAGGAGAAGCAGUGAACCGAAGCCCCGGUAAACGGCGGCCGUAACUAUAACGGUCCUAAGGUAGCGAAAUUCCUUGUCGGGUAAGUUCCGACCUGCACGAAUGGCAUAACGAUCUCGGCGGUGUCUCAACGAGGGGCUCAGUGAAAUUGCAGUGCCAGUGAAGAUACUGGCAACCCGCGGAAGGACGGUAAGACCCCGUGGACCUUUACUACAACUUGACAGUGUGUCUUGGGUAGGUCUGUGUAGGGUAGGUGGGAGGCUUUGAAGCCGGGUCGCUAGAUUCGGUGGAGCCAACCUUGAAAUACCACCCUGAUCUACUCGGGAUACUACCUGCUCCCGUUAUCCGGGAGAGGGACACUGUCUGGUGGGUAGUUUGACUGGGGCGGUCGCCUCCCAAACAAUAACGGAGGCGCGCUAAGGUUCCCUCAGGCUGAUUGGAAACCAGCCGUUGAGUGUAAAGGCAUAAGGGAGCUUGACUGCGAGAGGGACACCUCGAGCAGGUGCGAAAGCAGGUCUUAGUGAUCCGGUGGUUCCGAAUGGAAGGGCCAUCGCUCAUCGGAUAAAAGGUACCCCGGGGAUAACAGGCUUAUCUCCCCCAAGAGUUCACAUCGACGGGGAGGUUUGGCACCUCGAUGUCGGCUCAUCGCAUCCUGGGGCUGGAGCAGGUCCCAAGGGUUUGGCUGUUCGCCAAUUAAAGCGGUACGCGGGCUGGGUUUAGAACGUCGUGAGACAGUUCGGUCCCUAUCCUCCGUGGGCGGAGGAAAUUUGAGAGAGGCUGUCCCUAGUACGAGAGGACCGGGAUGGACGAACCUCUGGUGCUCCAGUUGUCGCGCCAGCGGCAUAGCUGGGUAGCUACGUUCGGCACGGAUAACCGCUGAAAGCAUCUAAGUGGGAAACCGUUCUCAAGAUUAGAUUUCCCUCCCGUUUCU